RNAcentral lists this unclassified non-coding RNA (338 nucleotides) under soil metagenome. Its description in RNAcentral is "partial contains 5.8S ribosomal RNA, internal transcribed spacer 2, and large subunit ribosomal RNA". The stretch from base 1 to 120 matches the Rfam family "5.8S ribosomal RNA", at positions 35 to 154 of the family's 154-position model. The record is from RNAcentral.
GAUGAAGAACGUAGCGAAAUGCGAUAAGUAAUGUGAAUUGCAGAAUUCAGUGAAUCAUCGAAUCUUUGAACGCACAUUGCGCCCGCCAGUAUUCUGGCGGGCAUGCCUGUCCGAGCGUCAUUUCAACCAUCAAGCCCCCGGGCUUGUGUUGGGGACCUGCGGCUGCCCGCAGGCCCUGAAAACCAGUGGCGGGCUCGCUGUCACACCGAGCGUAGUAGCAAUCACCUCGCUCAGGGCGUGCUGCGGGUUCCGGCCGUUAAAAAACCCUUUUAACCCAAGGUUGACCUCGGAUCAGGUAGGAAUACCCGCUGAACUUAAGCAUAUCAAUAAGCGGAGGA